AUACUUACCUGGCAAGGGAGAUACCAUGAUCACGAAGGUGGUUUUCCCAGGGUGAGGCUUAUCCAUUGCAUUCCAGAUGUGCUGACCUCUACGAUUUCCCCAAAUGUGGGAAAUUGGACUGCAUAAUUUGUGGUAGUGGGGUACUGCAUUCACACUCUCUCCUG
Molecule: small nuclear RNA, 164 nt
Filed under: Mus caroli (Ryukyu mouse)
Lineage: Eukaryota; Metazoa; Chordata; Mammalia; Rodentia; Muridae
Description: predicted gene, 25581 (MGP_CAROLIEiJ_G0035276.1)
Rfam family: U1 spliceosomal RNA
About the family: U1 is a small nuclear RNA (snRNA) component of the spliceosome (involved in pre-mRNA splicing).
Source: RNAcentral